This 468-nucleotide ribosomal RNA is filed under the name uncultured bacterium. RNAcentral describes it as "partial 16S ribosomal RNA". It matches the Rfam family "Bacterial small subunit ribosomal RNA", at positions 28 to 507 of the family's 1533-position model. The record is from RNAcentral.
GACGAACGCUGGCGGCGUGCUUAACACAUGCAAGUCGAACGGAAAGGCCCUGCUUUUGUGGUGUGCUCGAGUGGCGAACGGGUGAGUAACACGUGAGUAACCUGCCCUUGACUUUGGGAUAACUUCAGGAAACUGGGGCUAAUACCGGAUAGGAGCUCCUGCUGCAUGGUGGGGGUUGGAAAGUUUCGGCGGUUGGGGAUGGACUCGCGGCUUAUCAGCUUGUUGGUGGGGUAGUGGCUUACCAAGGCUUUGACGGGUAGCCGGCCUGAGAGGGUGACCGGCCACAUUGGGACUGAGAUACGGCCCAGACUCCUACGGGAGGCAGCAGUGGGGAAUAUUGCACAAUGGGCGGAGGCCUGAUGCAGCAACGCCGCGUGCGGGAUGACGGCCUUCGGGUUGUAAACCGCUUUCGCCUGUGACGAAGCGUGAGUGACGGUAAUGGGUAAAGAAGCACCGGCUAACUACGUG